GUCGAACGAGAAAGUCCCCUUCGGGGGAUGAGUAAAGUGGCGCACGGGUGAGUAACACGUAGGUAAUCUACCUUCGGGUGGGGAAUAACCCAGGGAAACUUGGGCUAACACCGCAUAAUGCAGCGGCACCACAUGGUGACAGUUGUUAAAGCGGGGGAUUUUAGGACCUCGCGCCUGAAGAGGAGCCUGCGGCGGAUUAGCUAGUUGGUAGGGUAACGGCUUACCAAGGCGACGAUCCGUAACCGGCCUGAGAGGGCGGUCGGUCACACUGACACUGACAUACGGGUCAGACUCCUACGGGAGGCAGCAGUCGGGAAUUUUGGGCAAUGGGCGAAAGCCUGACCCAGCAACGCCGCGUGAAGGAUGAAAUCCCUCGGGAUGUAAACUUCGCAAGAAUAGGAAGAAUUAGUAGGGGCUAAUACCCCCUAUGAUGACGGUACUAUUUGUAAGCUCCGGCUAACUCCGUGCCAGCAGCCGCGGUAAUACGGGGGGAGCAAGCGUUGUUCGGAUUUACUGGGCGUAAAGGGCGCGUAGGCGGUAGCACAAGUCAGUUGUGAAAUCUCCGGGCUUAACUCGGAAAGGUCAACUGAUACUGUGCGACUAGAGUGCAGAAGGGGCAACUGGAAUUCUCGGUGUAGCGGUGAAAUGCGUAGAUAUCGAGAGGAACACCUGCGGCGAAGGCGGGUUGCUGGGCUGACACUGACGCUGAGGCGCGAAAGCCAGGGGAGCGAACGGGAUUAGAUACCCCGGUAGUCCUGGCCUUAAACGAUGGAUGCUUGGUGUCUGGAGUUUUAUA
RNAcentral lists this ribosomal RNA (796 nucleotides) under uncultured Pseudomonadota bacterium. Its description in RNAcentral is "bacterial SSU rRNA". It matches the Rfam family "Bacterial small subunit ribosomal RNA", at positions 61 to 836 of the family's 1533-position model. Lineage: Bacteria; Pseudomonadati; Pseudomonadota. The record is from RNAcentral.